AUUGAAUGCUGGCGGUAUGGCUAAAACAUGCAAGUCGAACGGGCCCGCAAGGGUCAGUGGCGAAAGGGUCAGUAAUACGAUCGAACGUACCCCGAGGUGGGGGAUAGGCAGGGGAAACUCUGCAUAAUACCCCAUGUGGUCUACGGACUAAAGGUUUACCGCCUUGGGAGCGGCGAUCGUCCUAUCAGGUAGUUGGCGGGGUAAUGGCCCACCAAGCCUAAGACGGGUAGCGGGUGUGAGAGCACGGCCCGCGACAUCGGAACUGAGACACUGUCCGGACUCCUACGGGAGGCUGCAGUAACGAAUCUUCCGCAAUGGGCGAAAGCCUGACGGAGCAAUACCGCGUGUGGGAUGAAGCGUCUUUGACGUGUAAACCACUGUCAGGGGACGGAACCAAUGAUUGUCCCCAGAGGAAGUGGCGACUAACUCUGUG
RNAcentral lists this ribosomal RNA (433 nucleotides) under uncultured organism. RNAcentral's name for it is "bacterial SSU rRNA". It matches the Rfam family "Bacterial small subunit ribosomal RNA", at positions 30 to 507 of the family's 1533-position model. The record is from RNAcentral.